RNAcentral lists this ribosomal RNA (505 nucleotides) under uncultured Sphingobacteriales bacterium. RNAcentral's name for it is "bacterial SSU rRNA". It matches the Rfam family "Bacterial small subunit ribosomal RNA", at positions 903 to 1382 of the family's 1533-position model. Lineage: Bacteria; Pseudomonadati; Bacteroidota; Sphingobacteriia; Sphingobacteriales. The record is from RNAcentral.
GUUGCCAGCCCGCUACAGAAACUCAAAUGAAGUUGACGGGGGCCCGCACAAGCGGAGGAGCAUGUGGUUUAAUUCGAUGAUACGCGAGGAACCUUACCUGGGCUCGAACGUAAGAUGACUGUAGGUGAAAGCUUACAUCGUCUUCGGAGCAUUUUACGAGGUGCUGCAUGGUUGUCGUCAGCUCGUGCCGUGAGGUGUCGGGUUAAGUCCCAUAACGAGCGCAACCCCUACCUUUAGUUGCCAUCAGGUUAAGCUGGGGACUCUAAAGGAACUGCCUACGCAAGUAGUGAGGAAGGCGGGGAUGACGUCAAAUCAGCACGGCCCUUACGUCCAGGGCUACACACGUGCUACAAUGGCCGAUACAGAGGGCAGCUACCUGGUGACAGGAUGCAAAUCUCCAAAGUCGGUCUCAGUUCGGAUCGGAGUCUGCAACCCGACUCCGUGAAGUUGGAAUCGCUAGUAAUCGCGCAUCAGCCAUGGCGCGGUGAAUACGUUCCCGGGCCUU